GUUUACCCGGAGGUCACCAAGGGGGAUGGAGUAGGCUGAUGUGGGACACUGCGGGCCACCACGCAUCCAGCACAUCGGGAACAAUCUGGGUCUGUCCCAAAGUGAAAAUGACCACGAAAGGUAAACAUUGCUGAUCAGUUCAGAACAUCAAGGCAGCCAACUAAAGACACUCAUGAAAGAGGACUUCCAGAACUGCUACAGAAAAUGGCAGAAGCAGUGGAACAGGCCCCACCCCAAAGAAAGGAGCACAGCAGAUCAACGUGGAGCAGAAGCAGGAACACACUGUGCUGUGGUUUCUAUCAAAUGACUGAAAAGGUGAGCGGUGUCUAACUGUCCUGGAAUUUUCUCACUUGCUUUCCACCAGCA
This 366-nucleotide long non-coding RNA is filed under the name Chinchilla lanigera (long-tailed chinchilla). Its description in RNAcentral is "lncRNA (ENSCLAG00000024930.1)". Lineage: Eukaryota; Metazoa; Chordata; Mammalia; Rodentia; Chinchillidae. The record is from RNAcentral.